AUACGGAGGGUGCAAGCGUUGUUCGGAAUCACUGGGCGUAAAGGGCGCGCAGGCGGUUUGAUUAGUCAGAUGUGAAAGCCCACGGCUUAACCGUGGAAGUGCAUUUGAAACUGUCAGACUUGAGUAUCAGAGGGGAGAGUGGAAUUCCCGGUGUAGAGGUGAAACUCGUAGAUAUCGGGAGGAAUACCGGUGGCGAAGGCGACUUUCUGGCUGAAUACUGACGCUGAGGCGCGAAAGCGUGGGGAGCAAACAGGAUUAGAAACCCUAGUAGUCC
RNAcentral lists this ribosomal RNA (274 nucleotides) under uncultured bacterium. RNAcentral's name for it is "partial 16S ribosomal RNA". It matches the Rfam family "Bacterial small subunit ribosomal RNA", at positions 523 to 796 of the family's 1533-position model. The record is from RNAcentral.